CUUUCCUCCUUUCCGCCGACGUUAGCCGAAGGUAGGGAGUUGUCUUCGCCGUUCGGCCUCUUGCCGGCUUGUUUUCGGCGAUCUGGCGCCGGAAUCGGACUCCCCACCCCCGAAAACCCUUGAAGCAACCCUCCUCCGUCGGAAAUCCUUGCCGGCAGCCUUGAAAGGUGUCGCGUGAGCAGCGACUUUCCGGCCCCGAUCCGCCGCCUUCCGGCCACUUUCCGGCCAAAACUCUUGUCCUUCCGGACUCUCCGCAACUUGAGCUUCGCGUAGGCGCUUCCGGAUUUGAAUUCCGACACUGUUGGCGGGACCGGCUUCCGGACCCCAGUGUUUUCUGGACGCGUGAAAUAUUUUAAUUUUCAACUCGGUAUAAUUUUAUUAGACUCUGAAAAAUUUUGUUAUAAUAUUAGAAAGUUAUUGAGGCUAUUAAUUGCUUGUGUUGGGUAGUUUAAAAAUAAAUCAAAUUGAAUUGUUUGGAUUGUGGUGUUUUGGAGUCGGGAAAAUAUUAAUGCAGUUCUUGUGGCCCGGCUCCUGUUAUUAAAUUCCAGCAUGUCUGAUAUAUUUUUGGCAGGUCCUGGACCCGUUUUACGGGGGGUAAAUAUCCGUAAUUUAGGGGAGGUUCUGUCAAAUUUUCGGCAGAAUCCUCGAGUCCAAUUUAAUUCUAGGCAGUCGACCUUAGGGUCUAAGUUUAGGAAAAAUUUUCGAAUGUCUAUUAAUUGUAUGUCUUUUGUUAUUAGAUAAUUCAGCCUUCCCGCCAGCUCCACCCGAGGCGUAGGAGCGGACUGUGGAACGCAUCAAAUCUGUGAGUUAAAGUCAUUUAAUCUUUGCGCUAUUGCUAGUCUGAUUUUAAUAUGCUAUUUAGAAUUUGUGCUUAAUAUGAUUAUUAGUAUCGCAAGGUAAAUGAUUUCACUUGAUUAUUAAUAUUUGAAAUAAUAUAAAUAUUAUUAUUAGUAUGUUAUAAUAAGAUAAGCGUUAUUAUUUUUCCCCUCGCAAAUUGCACGUUGUUUUACCUUAAAUCUUUAAUCUUUAUUUCGAUAUGUGUUGGUUGAGUUCAUCAGAUAAUGAUAUUUAUUAUAUGUGAUGAUUGCGAAUUGGGAAAUGUGGCUUGUAGAACAUGCCGCCUGAUGGGUUACAUCAGGACCGCGUGCGCACCGGUAAUGAUCAUGGACAUGUAAUAAGAUAUUUAUGGGUUUGCCCUGGUCGAGCAUUGCUCUCGGGGCGCCGGCUUAUUUGGAUAUUUAAGUGACCAGACUGGAGGUAAGGUCCCUGGUCGAGCAUUGCUCUCGGGGCGCCAGUCUUAUUGGAUUAAGAGAGCCGAAUGGCUACUAGAUUUCUUAUUUGGAUAUUUAAGUGACCAGACUGGAGGUAAGGUCCCUGGUCGAGCAUUGCUCUCGGGGCGCCAGUCUUAUUGGAUUAAGAGAGCCAAAGUGGCUGUUAGAAUUUGGGGUUAGGGUUCUACUUAGCCACACGUCCCGUGAAAGUAAAAAUGUCUUUAUUUAUUUA
RNAcentral lists this long non-coding RNA (1503 nucleotides) under Ricinus communis (castor bean). Its description in RNAcentral is "long non-coding RNA (RCOM_LNC001437)". Lineage: Eukaryota; Viridiplantae; Streptophyta; Magnoliopsida; Malpighiales; Euphorbiaceae. The record is from RNAcentral.